RNAcentral lists this RNase P RNA (288 nucleotides) under Nitrososphaeria archaeon. RNAcentral's name for it is "RNase P RNA component". It matches the Rfam family "Archaeal RNase P". From Rfam's summary of the family: Ribonuclease P (RNase P) is a ubiquitous endoribonuclease, found in archaea, bacteria and eukarya as well as chloroplasts and mitochondria. Lineage: Archaea; Thermoproteati; Nitrososphaerota; Nitrososphaeria. The record is from RNAcentral.
GUGAGUCGGUGAGCGGAGUGGGUGAUUCCACCCCUGGAAACUCCUCUCUCAGUGAGACGCGUGGCGCCGCGAGGCGCCGGUGGGAGACCGCCGCUGGACGAACAGAAACGACACCUCUGUGCUACAGUGAAAAGGAUUCCCUUCUUGGGAUGAAGAGUGGUACAGCCUGGAUGAAACGCUCGCUAUGCACGUGGAGAAAGGCUAAAUAGGGCCCGAUGACUUCGGAGGGCCGGGUGAGCCGAUUAGAUGGAUUCCGCUGAAACAGAAAGAGGGUUACGGCCGACUCAC